This 73-nucleotide transfer RNA is filed under the name Ipomoea nil (Japanese morning glory). It matches the Rfam family "tRNA". From Rfam's summary of the family: Transfer RNA (tRNA) molecules are approximately 80 nucleotides in length. Lineage: Eukaryota; Viridiplantae; Streptophyta; Magnoliopsida; Solanales; Convolvulaceae. The record is from Rfam by way of RNAcentral.
UGGGGUAUAGCUCAUAUGGUAGAGCACUUGCUUCGCAUGCGAGAGGCACGGGGUUUGAUUCCCCGCACCUCUA